This 253-nucleotide ribosomal RNA is filed under the name uncultured bacterium. RNAcentral describes it as "partial 16S ribosomal RNA". It matches the Rfam family "Bacterial small subunit ribosomal RNA", at positions 524 to 776 of the family's 1533-position model. The record is from RNAcentral.
UACGGGGGGGGCAAGCGUUGUUCGGAAUUACUGGGCGUAAAGGGCUCGUAGGUGGCCAACUAAGUCUGACGUGAAAUCCCUCGGCUUAACCGGGGAACUGCGUCUGAUACUGGAUGGCUUGAGUUCGGGAGAGGGAUGCGGAAUUCCAGGUGUAGCGGUGAAAUGCGUAGAUAUCUGGAGGAACACCGGUGGCGAAGGCGGCAUCCUGGACCGACACUGACGCUGAGGAGCGAAAGCCAGGGGAGCAAACGGG